CUUGCUAUCAAACAUGUUCUAUGAUAAUACAAAGUAUUUGUUCUUAUCAGCUUAAUAUCUGAUACGUUACAUGGGGACCAGAAUAUUAAACUGAUUUUUGAACAUUGGCGGGGUUACUGGAGCUUGCUCCUGCCCUGCCGCGGGUUGGCCUGGCAUUGCACUACAGCCAGGAUCGGCCCAUUUUAU
RNAcentral lists this small nuclear RNA (186 nucleotides) under Pollicipes pollicipes. RNAcentral's name for it is "U2 spliceosomal RNA". It matches the Rfam family "U2 spliceosomal RNA". Rfam says of the family: U2 is a small nuclear RNA (snRNA) component of the spliceosome (involved in pre-mRNA splicing). The record is from RNAcentral. Lineage: Eukaryota; Metazoa; Arthropoda; Thecostraca; Pollicipedomorpha; Pollicipedidae.